Non-coding RNA from Cricetulus griseus (Chinese hamster), 6465 nucleotides. NCBI's taxonomy places the organism in Eukaryota, Metazoa, Chordata, Mammalia, Rodentia, Cricetidae. The record is from RefSeq and is a predicted model, not a curated record.
CAGUAAAUGCUCUUAAAUGCUGAGUCAUUUCUCUACCCCACAGGCACUGUUUUCUUCUAAGCAAGUUGACCAGUGGAUCAUCACUGAGCUGCCUGGCAUGUUAAAUCAGUUCACCAUGAUUGGGACAACCCCACUGUGAACAGCACCCAUCCUAGAGUCAUCUUUCGUGGACCUCCAAACAACUGGGGCCUGUGCAUUCUGAGAAGCUGGGGUGUGCUUAUUCAACCACUAGGAGCUCCCUCAAGACCUCUAGUUACCUCCACAAAAAGAUGCUGCAGACUAGGGUCCAGGACUGUAAUAACUUUUCUUAAAAUUGUAUCUUAAGGACCAUGAAGAUGGCUCAUCAGGUGAUAACACUCAAAUAAGCCUGAUUACCCGAGUUUGAUUCCCCAGGACUCACAUGGUAGAAGCCCUCAGCUGCCCAGGCAUGCAAUCCUCAAACUGCUUCUGUCCCUGCUGGGAGAGAAUCCUUGCGGCCACUCCUAUUGAUGCUGGACACAUGGAGAGCACAGGGUGAACAGGCAGCUGCGGUACUUUUGAGAAGAUGAAGGACUUCUUCCUAAGAAGAAACCCAGGGUCAGGAGUCAGAGUACUUGGUAUGAAGGGCUGGACUACAGCCAGGGCAGACCUGUCCUGCCAACACCAGUGAACUCACAGACAGGCAGAGGGCCCCUGGAGAAAGGAGCUCCUAGGCCAGCAGCAUCCUAACUCACCAUCCAUCCCAAAGCUGUAUGACAGAGGAAGGCGCAUUUCCUCACUCAGGCUUCAGUUUAGCCACCUCAAAGACUGGAAAAAGAUGGCAGACAUGAAAUCUCAAAGACAUGAAUGACUUCCACUUGCAACCUGAAGACAACUUUGCUCCAAGUCCACGUUCCUUCCCAACCCAGACAGUCCACAUCUCUGAUAAUGUUCUUCCCUCUUCAGCAGAGUCUAUGGGGAAACUACUUGGAAGGGAUGAAGAAAGAGCUGGGCAAGAAAAAUUAUGGAGGGGAGGUAUGAAGGUAAACAUGGCCACCAAGGCUCUGGAGCUCCCCAUGGUAGGUCUUAGACACUGGGACCUGUCAAGACUUUCCCCUGCUCCCAGCUUUGUCAUCUAAGUUAUCCUUUCCUCUCAGCCCAUGACUACCUACCCAACCCCACUGCCUUCCAAUCCCCUCAGGUCCCCUGCCGAUGCAGUUCUGGACUUAAUUAAACCACCUGGUAAGCAUUAUAGUUCAACACCCAUGAACUAUCUGAACUAUACCAGCUUCCUCCCCAUGAGAAGGUCAACAGAGAGGCUGGGAAAAUUAUCAAGACACCACUAGCCUUAUCUUCUAAACAGUUACAAUAGCAAGAAUGUCUAUUGACCUCCCUGGUCAAUGCCACAUGACAAAUCCCACUGACCCCAACAUCCAGAAAAGUAGUAGAAAUGACAGAAGUAGGCUGAUGGAAGUGACCAGGCAUAGUGGGGCCUGAGGACCAUCUCUCAUCCAGCAUUUCAAAAUAGGGUGAAGAAAAGACAGUUACUCCUCAUUGCCUCUGUCAUUUCUGGAGUCUUUACUGAAUGCUGGGUGCAAGGACAUUCUUCCACCUCAUACCUCGGCCCCUUAAGAGCCAUAUGAAACAAAGGUCAAAAGUCUAUCUAAGGGACAGACUUAAGAUGGUUUUCAUUAUCUUGCCUUCCUGUGACCACUGCCCAUCAGUGCAGCAGAACCUAUGUAUCACUUAUAGCCAAUAGAAUAAAGGAAAGGUGGGAUAGUCACUGCCAUCACUAUAUUAUCAAAGCCCUAGUGUUGCUAACAGCCAGGUGCCAGAGACCCACUCCGAAGAUGUCCACAUCAGCAAUCUAAGAAAGGUUUGCAGAGCAAUGAACCUCUGCAAGUUAGAAACAGCUGUUGGCCAGCAGGGAGACUAGCCAUAGUUCUGUAGCCAUAAGGAAUGCUCCUGAGCCUGUGAGAAGGCCCAUCUCCACCUGAACCUCCAGAUUAAGAUGCACCCCUGGCCAGAUAACACCUUGAUUACAUCCAGCUAAGAGCAUCCUACUAUACCAUGUCUGGACUCCUGGCCCAUAGAAACUGUGAGACAGACUUACGUUGUUCUAAGUUCCUGUGUUUGAGCAUUCAUCACGAGAAAACAGAACAUAGAUAUAAGUAUGAUAUCUGUCUUUUAGAUGAGAACCCUAAAGCUCAAAGACUUUGGUGAGAGUCCCUCCCUUGCUUUGAGGCUCAGCAGGGACCAGAGUCUGCCCUAGACUACGUAUGUUGAUGUGCUUGACAGACAAAUUGGCCAUUGUUAUUCAGUAGUCACUCAAAUAAGUAGUGGCCUACAUGAUCAUUGACUGAAAUACCAUCUUUCCAACAAGUGUUUGUUGAGUAUCACCAGUGUGCCCAGUCAAGGAGAAACAAUGGUACGCUACACAGACACACACCAGUGUCUCAAUGGCAAAGAGCUCAAUGAAGAGUGUGGACAAUACACAGGAUCUUUAUAUGAUGAAGGUUAUAAAGUACGAAUGGAUGGGAUGAAAUGGAAGCAUGUGGGACAGCCAGCCUUGGCCCAGGGCAAGAGACAGACUCCCUGAGUAAGUGAAGCCCAGUUCUUUGGAAGGUGGGCCUGGUAAGGAGUCAGCCCUUCCACAUACUGUAUAAGUGAGUAGGUAGGUGAAUAAGUUUUACUGGUCAAAGAUCCCCAGAGAAAAGGACUCCCCCUGCAAUGUGAGGUCAUCCUGCUUCUAAGUUUUUUAGCUUCCAAGACACAUGCUCCAAGGAUCCAAGGCCUCCGUGACUAAGCAGUGAUGCUCAAAGACAUUAGGGUUCACUGAAUACCACUUCUGCAUGUAUCACUGGUGGCUGUAGUUAGCAUGAGCCUGUGUAGCUGGGCUCUUAUUCUCCAGACAUCUAGUGGUGGGGAAAUGGCAGGUGGAGGGAAGUGUGAGGCAAAGUGGGGAGAUGAAUCAGGAGCUGAUGAACAGAGCCAGAGCAAAAGGCAGGCAUUAGAAGAAGAUCUCCAUGGGUCAAGUUUCAGCCUAUGAUGACUCACAGCUCCAGAGGUCUUUGCCAAUGAGCUGGCUGGCUAAUAUGGAUCAGGCAGGUUCCUAGCAGGAAGCAGACAGCACGAGCAAAUUGGUCAUUUAAGAGAAUUUCAUAAAGAGACUAUUGUUAGUGGUCUUGGCGGACAUACAAAAGAUUGUAAGGACCUUGACCAAGAUCGGCAGCCCAUCCCAUCAGGCCUCACCACACACAGGAAGUUAUCAGAGCAUCAGGGAGCUUGAACUGAGUGGAUAGGGCACCAGGUAGGACUGUGGCUCUGCUUAGGUGUACAGGCUGUGGCACCCUGAAGGAGGUGUUUUGUGUCCUGACCUUGCCCUGCCUUCUGUCUCCAACAGGCUGAGAGUCUGUGGGUCGGAACAGAGCAAGGCACCUGCUGACGAAGUCCCCUCGGGGCAGCCUUCUAUGGAACAGAGCAGAGCAAAGUUGGAGGCAGAUUGUGGCAAAGUGUUUGUCCAACACUACCAGAGGGGAAAAACAUUCUUUUUCUUUUUGUGAUGUUCUUUUCACAUUCUAGAUCAGAGUUUCUCAACCUGUGAGUCUCGACCUCUUCAGCAAACCUCUAUCUUCAAAAAUAUUUACAUUGUGAUUCAUAACAGUGGCAAGAUUACAGUUCUGAAAUAGCAAUGAAAAAUGUUAUGGUUUGGAGUCAUCAUAACACUGUAUUAAAGGAACUGUAUUAAAGGGUCACAGCAUUAGGAAGGUUUAGAACCACUGCUUUAAACCAGUGCACUGUGGAGACCAGUGCACACAGACCCUGUUGUAGGAGCCCACAGAAGCCCACUUGGGAUUAAGACAGAUUUCCCAAAAAAUUCUAAAAUGGCCUUAAACAGCCAUCUGCCAGUUUGAGCUACAUAAUUAAUGUAAAGAGGUCAAAUAUUAAGCCAAGAUUAAAAACAAGCAGAAAAAACUAUUCAUUAAUAUGCAAUUUUCCUUUAUCAUCAAUAAGUGGUAAAAUUAUAUGUAUACAAAAUUAUUUUAAACAAUUUACUUGUGGUUUAUUACAGAAAAAGGAGGAGGAGAAUGGAGAUGAGGAGGAGAAAAGGGGAGGAGGGACUCACUCUUACCUUUUGCUCAGUUAAGGACUCCGGACCACCCACUCACCUUCUCAGGCCUCGGUUUCCUUCUCUGUUAAAGGAAUGGGGAGUGUCCUUAUGUGUUCACUUUCCACAUUUGAAAUGGUUUCAUGAACUUUGGGGCCCCAGAUGGACCCUGGAAUGCAUAGGGCUGACUGCAAGCUUUUUCAUCAACAUGAAAGCAAGAUCUGGACCACUGAGAAGCCAGAUCCAGACACAGAAGCUCUAAGCAAGGGAACAACCAUGUAUGAAUGGCAGCCUGGCUCAGAUGCCUCAGGACUGGGACCAGAGGCCCUCUCUCCACAUGUGUGCCCAAGCCUGAAGCUGCAGAAGGAAGAUGCUUGAUUUCCUGGUCCCUCAGUGAACAGCAUGAUACCCAGAAACCCACGGCUGGCCCUCAGCAGAUGUGUGAGUUGGAUAGAGCAAUGUGGACCAGCAUGGGUUUAGCUCCAAGGAUCCUUGGCAGCUCCUAGUCCCUCUCAGGUUCCUACACUCCUGCAGCCUAGACUGGGACAUACAUAAAUAAGGAGCUCACAGCCUCAUGGGUAUUCCAGGCAGCCGGGCAGCUGGUUACUAGAAAACAACACCCUGCCAUGGAUAACUUAGGGUCUCAAAUGCAGAGGUUCAAUACCCUCAGAGUCCCACCAGACCUGCCCCAUCUCUAAUCUUCCAGUGCCCAAAACAAAGGCCCCUCUGUGAGACCCACAGGCCUCUUCCCUUUGCCUCUUAUCACCCACAUCAGAGUUCACAGGAAGAGGGUUUCAAAACCUCAGAGUCAGAACUGCACUGAGGUUAGUACUUUUUUUUUCAAGAGAAAGGAAGCCAGAAGGGUGGGAAGGGGUGCAGGUGCAGCCCAUGAAGGCCCUGGCUAUGGAGGGAAGGGCUUGCACAAAGGGUGAGUGCCAGAGGGACAGACCUUCUCCCUCAGCGUACUUGCCCAGGGGCAGACAGGUCAAAGAAUCUGUGUCUGUACUGGGGAGUUGCUCUUGAUGCUUCAAAAGGAUCAGGCAUGGAGGACCAUGGGCCAUCCAAAGACAUUUGAUGAGACCUAUCCUGCCCAGUAACUAGUACCUCUCCCUUGUCUGGUGGCCUCUCUGCCUAGAGAAACUCAGAGGACUCAAGGCCUCCAUGGCCCUGCACUGCUCAGGUACAGAGCCCUGGCCUCAUUUCCAAACCUGCCCCUCCCCCUAGGCUUGCCACACUGCUAUGCAGCCUCUGAGCAGGGAUCGUCUAUGGCCAGUCAUCUCGACUUUUGUCCAUGUGAGUUGCAUUCUAGAGCUGAGAAUGGGAAACAUUCCAUUUUCAUAUCGCCAACAGCGCUGUGAUGAAAUGUCUUGAGUGGCUUGCAAGAUGCUUAUCUACCACAUCUGACAUGGGGGUGGACUUGACAUUGUUUAUUUUACUGUCUGUAUUGCAUUUUUAUUUGUUUUAUCUUGCUACUUUGAGUGAAUCCUUCUUUUAAAAAAAUUUGGGGAGCAAGUUGUGGAACAUCUCAAAUAUUGAGAAAAUGAUAGGAAAUGUUAUUACCUGCUAUCUAGCUCUUAGUUCCUUCUUUUUCUUCCUCUUUCUAUUCUUCUUCUUCUUCUUUCUUCUUCUUCUUCUUCUUCUUCUUCUUCUUCUCCUUCUUUCUCUCCUCCUCCUUCCCCUCCUCCUCCUCUUUUUCUCUCUCUCCUUACCCCACUUCUUCUCACCUCUCUCUGUAAGAUCUCAUGUAUCCCAGGCUGGCUUCAAUCUUAAUGAAUGAUAGAUACUAUCUUGCUUUCUUAAUAAAACUAGGAUUGCUCUACAUAUACUGUUCUUCAACUUGACAUUUUCUCACAACUUAUUAGUGUUUUUUGACAUCUCUCCAUGUGAAUGCUAGUAAAUGAACAAUAGUCUCUUAAAUACCUGCUGAGGUUCCAGUUUAUUUAAUGUUUUCCACAGGCAGGCACUUAGGUGGUUUACAGUCACUGUGUUAUUCUAAACAAGCCUACAGACUACAUUUGCCAUGUUGUUCUCUUUACUUGUAAGAAUUCUGUUGUACACCACAUACCCAGAAGUGGACUUUCUGGAGAAAAGUAUCCUGAACAUUUGCCAUCUUGAAAGAAUUUCCACUUUUGCCUUCUAAAAAUGACCAACUUGAACACCUAUCUAGAGCACAGGGGAGUUUUUCCUCCAUAUAUCUUCAAGAUCAUAGCUACUUGUGCCAUGGCUGGCCUUUUGUUUAUCUGCUGUGAACUGUGUCCCUAUGCCGCCCCCAAGAAUUUUAUGUUCUCCUUUGUCUUUUGGUUUUUUAUGUUUGAAUCUUUGAUCCGUCAAGAAUCAAUUCUAGAUACUGAACACAUAUUGAUAUUUCCUGUUCUGUAAAUAAAUCUGAUUAGAUGCCA